Molecule: ribosomal RNA, 468 nt
Filed under: uncultured bacterium
Lineage: Bacteria
Description: partial 16S ribosomal RNA
Rfam family: Bacterial small subunit ribosomal RNA
Source: RNAcentral
GACGAACGCUGGCGGCGUGCUUAACACAUGCAAGUCGAACGGAAAGGCCCUGCUUUUGUGGGGUGCUCGAGUGGCGAACGGGUGAGUAACACGUGAGUAACCUGCCCUUGACUUUGGGAUAACUUCAGGAAACUGGGGCUAAUACCGGAUAGGAGCUCCUGCUGCAUGGUGGGGGUUGGAAAGUUUCGGCGGUUGGGGAUGGACUCGCGGCUUAUCAGCUUGUUGGUGGGGUAGUGGCUUACCAAGGCUUUGACGGGUAGCCGGCCUGAGAGGGUGACCGGCAACAUGGGGACUGAGAUACGGCACAGACUCCUACGGGAGGCAGAAGUGGGGAAUAUUGCACAAUGGGCGGAAGCCUGAUGCAGCAACGCCGCGUGCGGGAUGACGGCCUUCGGGUUGUAAACCGCUUUCGCCUGUGACGAAGCGUGAGUGACGGUAAUGGGUAAAGAAGCACCGGCUAACUACGUG